Molecule: ribosomal RNA, 253 nt
Filed under: uncultured bacterium
Lineage: Bacteria
Description: partial 16S ribosomal RNA
Rfam family: Bacterial small subunit ribosomal RNA
Source: RNAcentral
UACGUAGGGUCCGAGCGUUGUCCGGAAUUACUGGGCGUAAAGAGCUCGUAGGCGGUUCGUCGCGUCGGCUGUGAAAACCCGGAGCUCAACUCCGGGCCUGCAGUCGAUACGGGCGGACUUGAGUUCGGCAGGGGAGACUGGAAUUCCUGGUGUAGCGGUGAAAUGCGCAGAUAUCAGGAGGAACACCGGUGGCGAAGGCGGGUCUCUGGGCUGAUACUGACGCUGAGGAGCGAAAGCGUGGGGAGCGAACAGG